CUUUUAUACUUUCAUCUUGUCAUGCUCGGAAUUUUUCUUUAUAAUUUUUUAUUCAUAAUUUAUUUCCUAGGUGGAUCUAUUCAAUAUAUAUUUAUACUUAUGAUACAACUAUAUGUUUUUACUUACUUUAUCGGUGAAAUUCAAUUAACAUAGUCAUAUAUACCUAAUAUAAUAUAUAUCUUUAUUGAUUGUAAAUUGUGAUUUAUUAUAGUUUGGAAUAAGCAUAUGGCAUAUAAUAUAAUUGACCAGAU
Molecule: non-coding RNA, 251 nt
Organism: Punica granatum (pomegranate)
Lineage: Eukaryota; Viridiplantae; Streptophyta; Magnoliopsida; Myrtales; Lythraceae
Source: RefSeq, a predicted model, not a curated record